AGGAGGCAGCAGUGGGGAAUCUUGGGCAAUGGGCGAAAGCCUGACCCAGCAACGCCGCAUGGGUGACGAAGGCCUUCGGGUCGUAAAGCCCUUUUCCACGGGAAGAUAAUGACGGUACCGUGGGAAUAAGCCCCGGCUAACUACGUGCCAGCAGCCGCGGUAAUACGUAGGGGGCAAGCGUUGUCCGGAUUUAUUGGGCGUAAAACGCUUGUAGGUGGCUACGCCAAGUCGGACGUGAAAUCUCCCGGCUUAACUGGGAGGGGUCGCUCGAUACUGGCGAGCUCGAGGCAGGUAGGGGGAAGCGGAAUUCCCGGUGUAGUGGUGGAAUGCGUAGAUAUCGGGAGGAACACCAGUGGCGAAGGCGGCUUCCUGGACCUGUUCUGACACUGAGGAGCGAAAGCGUGGGGAGCGAUCCGGAUUAGAUACCCGUGUAGUCGU
RNAcentral lists this ribosomal RNA (438 nucleotides) under uncultured bacterium. RNAcentral's name for it is "bacterial SSU rRNA". It matches the Rfam family "Bacterial small subunit ribosomal RNA", at positions 343 to 797 of the family's 1533-position model. The record is from RNAcentral.